GCGGAAGUGGCGAAAUAGGUAGACGCACCAGAUUUAGGUUCUGGCGCUUUCGGGUAUGCGAGUUCAAAUCUCGCCUUCCGCA
Molecule: transfer RNA, 82 nt
Filed under: Pantoea sp. Edef
Lineage: Bacteria; Pseudomonadati; Pseudomonadota; Gammaproteobacteria; Enterobacterales; Erwiniaceae
Description: tRNA-Leu
Rfam family: tRNA
About the family: Transfer RNA (tRNA) molecules are approximately 80 nucleotides in length. Their secondary structure includes four short double-helical elements and three loops (D, anti-codon, and T loops).
Source: RNAcentral